Molecule: ribosomal RNA, 339 nt
Filed under: Copepoda environmental sample
Lineage: Eukaryota; Metazoa; Arthropoda; Copepoda
Description: partial 18S ribosomal RNA
Rfam family: Eukaryotic small subunit ribosomal RNA
Source: RNAcentral
CAAUAAAAAAGGGAUAAAAUGGAUAGGUCUCAGUACUUGGAUAACUGCGCCAUUCCUUAGGAGGUAAUACUGCUAAAAACUGCGACUCACGGAMCAGUGYUUUUAUUAGAUCAAAACCAAACGRYCUCGCGUCGUCCCCCUGGUGAUUCUGAAUAAYUUUGGGCUGAUCGCAUGGYCACGAUCCGGCGACGUAUCCUUUUAAGGUGUGCCCUAUCAACUGUCGACUGUGGCAUAYACUCCCACAGUGGUYUUGACGGGWAACGGGMAAUUAGGGYUCWAUUCCGGAGAGGGAGCCUGAKAAACGGCUACCACUUUACSGAAGGAGCUUGGMGMAAAUUA